RNAcentral lists this small RNA (29 nucleotides) under Bombyx mori (domestic silkworm). Its description in RNAcentral is "ovarian small RNA-20023". Lineage: Eukaryota; Metazoa; Arthropoda; Insecta; Lepidoptera; Bombycidae. The record is from RNAcentral.
UACAAAUAAUUUUUAACAUGCUACAAGCC